RNAcentral lists this ribosomal RNA (21 nucleotides) under Radopholus similis. Its description in RNAcentral is "partial 18S ribosomal RNA". The record is from RNAcentral. Lineage: Eukaryota; Metazoa; Nematoda; Chromadorea; Rhabditida; Pratylenchidae.
GAACCUGCUGCAGGAUCAUUA